AUGUUGAUAAUCAAUGCUUAUUAGUUUGUUUAGCACUUUGUUUCACGAAUGCUGCUCGAUUUGAUUUGUAUGUGUUAGAUAGAGUACCGUGAGCACUGAUCGGAGAUCAGAUUUUUUUGGGGACUGACGGAACCGAACACGCCCACCACGUGGCAAAAGAGUACCGUGAGCACUGAUCGGAGAUCAGAUUUAUUUGGGACAGACGGAGCCGAACACGCCCACCACGUGGCCUUCGAACAGACAGGCAAUCAUAGGAAUUAAUCCUACACAGUGCGAAGCUUGGCAGUGGCAAG
This is a non-coding RNA of Paramisgurnus dabryanus, 293 nucleotides long. Lineage: Eukaryota; Metazoa; Chordata; Actinopteri; Cypriniformes; Cobitidae. The record is from RefSeq and is a predicted model, not a curated record.